Molecule: ribosomal RNA, 497 nt
Filed under: uncultured bacterium
Lineage: Bacteria
Description: partial 16S ribosomal RNA
Rfam family: Bacterial small subunit ribosomal RNA
Source: RNAcentral
GAUGAACGCUGGCGGCGUGCCUAAUACAUGCCAGUCGAGCGAACAGACGAGGAGCUUGCUCCUCUGACGUUAGCGGCGGACGGGUGAGUAACACGUGGAUAACCUACCUAUAAGACUGGGAUAACUUCGGGAAACCGGAGCUAAUACCGGAUAAUAUAUUGAACCGCAUGGUUCAAUAGUGAAAGACGGUUUUGCUGUCACUUAUAGAUGGAUCCGCGCCGCAUUAGCUAGUUGGUAAGGUAACGGCUUACCAAGGCAACGAUGCGUAGCCGACCUGAGAGGGUGAUCGGCCACACUGGAACUGAGACACGGUCCAGACUCCUACGGGAGGCAGCAGUAGGGAAUCUUCCGCAAUGGGCGAAAGCCUGACGGAGCAACGCCGCGUGAGUGAUGAAGGUCUUCGGAUCAUAAAACUCUGUUAUUAGGGAAGAACAAAUGUGUAAGUAACUAUGCACGUCUUGACGGUACCUAAUCAGAAAGCCACGGCUAACUACGUG